RNAcentral lists this non-coding RNA (46 nucleotides) under Schistosoma mansoni. Lineage: Eukaryota; Metazoa; Platyhelminthes; Trematoda; Strigeidida; Schistosomatidae. The record is from RNAcentral.
GCACUGCUGAAGAGUCUCAUAAUAGGACGAAACGGCCGUCCAGUGC